This 115-nucleotide ribosomal RNA is filed under the name Propithecus coquereli (Coquerel's sifaka). Lineage: Eukaryota; Metazoa; Chordata; Mammalia; Primates; Indriidae. The record is from RNAcentral.
GUCUAUGGUCAUACCACUCUGAACGCGCCUGGUCUCGUCUGAUCUCGGAAACUAAGCAGGGUCGGGCCUGGUUAGUACUUGGAUGGGAGGUUAAGUGUGACAUGACAUAUGGAUU